CCUACGGGAAGCAGCAGUGGGGAAUUUUGGACAAUGGGCGAAAGCCUGAUCCAGCCAUUCCGCGUGAGUGAAGAAGGCCUUCGGGUUGUAAAGCUCUUUCGGCAGGAACGAAACGGUMUUUUCUAAUACAAGCGGUUAAUGACGGUACCUGAAGAAGAAGCACCGGCUAACUACGUGCCAGCAGCCGCGGUAAUACGAAGGGUGCGAGCGUUAAUCGGAAUUACUGGGCGUAAAGCGUGCGCAGGCGGCUUUAUAAGACAGAUGUGAAAUCCCCGGGCUCAACCUGGGAAAUGCCUUUGUGACUGUAGGGCUAGAGUGCGGCAGAGGGGGGUAGAAUUCCACGUGUAGCAGUGAAAUGCGUAGAGAUGUGGAGGAAUACCGAUGGCGAAGGCAGCCCCCUGGGUCGACACUGACGCUCAUGCACGAAAGCGUGGGGAGCAAACAGGAUUAGAUACCCUGGUAGUCCACGCCCUAAACGAUGCGAACUAGGUGUUGGGGAAGGAGACCUCCUCAGUACCGCAGCUAACGCGUGAAGUC
RNAcentral lists this ribosomal RNA (537 nucleotides) under uncultured bacterium. Its description in RNAcentral is "bacterial SSU rRNA". It matches the Rfam family "Bacterial small subunit ribosomal RNA", at positions 338 to 866 of the family's 1533-position model. The record is from RNAcentral.